RNAcentral lists this ribosomal RNA (256 nucleotides) under uncultured bacterium. Its description in RNAcentral is "partial 16S ribosomal RNA". It matches the Rfam family "Bacterial small subunit ribosomal RNA", at positions 524 to 776 of the family's 1533-position model. The record is from RNAcentral.
GACGAGCCUCACGAACGUUAUUCGGAAUCACUGGGCUUAAAGGGUGCGUAGGCGGCUUGUCGCGUCGUCCGUGAAAACUCACAGCUCAACUGUGAGCUUGCGGGCGAUACGGGCAGACUAGAGUACUGCAGGGGAGACUGGAAUUCCUGGUGUAGCGGUGGAAUGCGCAGAUAGUCAGGAGGAACACCGGUGGCGAAGGCGGGUCUCUGGGCCAACUACUGACGCUGAGAAGCGGAAAGCAUGGGGAGCGAACAGG